Molecule: ribosomal RNA, 204 nt
Filed under: Ochromonas sp. CCMP1393
Lineage: Eukaryota; Chrysophyceae; Chromulinales; Chromulinaceae
Description: partial Bacterial large subunit ribosomal RNA
Rfam family: Bacterial large subunit ribosomal RNA
Source: RNAcentral
CAGAACGUCGUGAGACAGUUCGGUCCCUAUCUACCGUGGGCGUUGGAAAUUUGAGAGGAUCUGCUCCUAGUACGAGAGGACCAGAGUGGACGAACCUCUGGUGUACCGGUUGUGACGCCAGUCGCAUCGCCGGGUAGCUAUGUUCGGAAGGGAUAACCGCUGAAAGCAUCUAAGCGGGAAGCCUGUUUUAAGAUGAGGUUUCAU